GUCAGUUUGUCCGAGUGGUUAAGGAGUUAGACUUGAAAUCUAGUGGGUUCUACCCGCGCAGGUUCAAAUCCUGCAGCUGUACG
This 83-nucleotide transfer RNA is filed under the name Ichthyophthirius multifiliis. RNAcentral's name for it is "tRNA-Ser". It matches the Rfam family "tRNA". From Rfam's summary of the family: Transfer RNA (tRNA) molecules are approximately 80 nucleotides in length. Their secondary structure includes four short double-helical elements and three loops (D, anti-codon, and T loops). The record is from RNAcentral. Lineage: Eukaryota; Ciliophora; Oligohymenophorea; Hymenostomatida.